Non-coding RNA from Eumeta japonica, 72 nucleotides. Lineage: Eukaryota; Metazoa; Arthropoda; Insecta; Lepidoptera; Psychidae. The record is from the annotation of a GenBank genome assembly.
UGGCGGUGGCUCAGUGGUUAAGAGCAUCGGCUUCAGACUGGAAGGUGCCAGGUUCGAUCCCUUUCACGGGAG